AAUUUUUACAAUGAAGAGUUUGAUCCUGGCUCAGGAUGAACGCUAGCGGCAGGCUUAACACAUGCAAGUCGAGGGGCAGCG
RNAcentral lists this ribosomal RNA (81 nucleotides) under Bacteroidetes bacterium GWF2_39_10. RNAcentral describes it as "partial 16S ribosomal RNA". It matches the Rfam family "Bacterial small subunit ribosomal RNA", at positions 1 to 74 of the family's 1533-position model. The record is from RNAcentral. Lineage: Bacteria; Pseudomonadati; Bacteroidota.